UGGGGAAUUUUGGACAAUGGGCGAAAGCCUGAUCCAGCAAUGCCGCGUGUGUGAAGAAGGCCUUCGGGUUGUAAAGCACUUUUGUCCGGAAAGAAAUCCUUGGCUCUAAUACAGUCGGGGGAUGACGGUACCGGAAGAAUAAGCACCGGCUAACUACGUGCCAGCAGCCGCGGUAAUACGUAGGGUGCAAGCGUUAAUCGGAAUUACUGGGCGUAAAGCGUGCGCAGGCGGUUUGCUAAGACCGAUGUGAAAUCCCCGGGCUCAACCUGGGAACUGCAUUGGUGACUGGCAGGCUAGAGUAUGGCAGAGGGGGGUAGAAUUCCACGUGUAGCAGUGAAAUGCGUAGAGAUGUGGAGGAAUACCGAUGGCGAAGGCAGCCCUCUGGGCCAAUACUGACGCUCAUGCACGAAAAGCGUGGGGGAGCAAAACAGGAUUAGAUACCCUGGUAGUCCACGCCCUAAACGAUGUCAACUAGUUGUUGGGGAUUCAUUUCCUUAGUAACGUAGCUAACGCGUGAAGUUGACCGCCU
Molecule: ribosomal RNA, 529 nt
Filed under: uncultured bacterium
Lineage: Bacteria
Description: partial 16S ribosomal RNA
Rfam family: Bacterial small subunit ribosomal RNA
Source: RNAcentral